Molecule: non-coding RNA, 108 nt
Organism: Paramuricea clavata
Lineage: Eukaryota; Metazoa; Cnidaria; Anthozoa; Malacalcyonacea; Plexauridae
Source: the annotation of a GenBank genome assembly
GACAUAUGACAAGGAUGAAAUGUUCUCGAGUGAGAUAUAUCAUAUCUGGAAAUUAUGAUAUAUCUCACUUGAGAACAUUUCAUCCUUGUCAUAUGUCAACCUGCUAUU